This 561-nucleotide ribosomal RNA is filed under the name Octospora subglobispora. Its description in RNAcentral is "partial large subunit ribosomal RNA". It matches the Rfam family "Eukaryotic large subunit ribosomal RNA", at positions 84 to 653 of the family's 3401-position model. The record is from RNAcentral. Lineage: Eukaryota; Fungi; Ascomycota; Pezizomycetes; Pezizales; Pyronemataceae.
UAACUGCGAGUGAAGCGGCAAAAGCUCAAAUUUGAAAUCUGGCGUCCUCUGGGCGUCCGAGUUGUAAUUUGGAGGAGCGUCUUCGGGAGCGGCACCGUCCUAAGUUCUUUGGAACAGGACGUCAUAGAGGGUGAGAAUCCCGUGCCUGGGCGGUUGACCGUUCCCAUGUGAAGUGCUUCCGACGAGUCGAGUUGUUUGGGAAUGCAGCUCAAAAUGGGUGGUAAAUUUCAUCUAAAGCUAAAUAUUGGCGAGAGACCGAUAGCGCACAAGUAGAGUGAUCGAAAGAUGAAAAGCACUUUGAAAAGAGAGUUAAAAAGUACGUGAAAUUGUUGAAAGGGAAGCGCUUGAGAUCAAACUCGGCCUUUGGUGAUCCACUGGGCUUCUGUCCGGUGAAACUUUGCCAUUGGCCGGGCCAGCAUCGGUUCUGACGGUGGGAAAAACGGUUGGGGAAUGUGGCUCCUCUCGGGGAGUGUUUAUAGACCCGGCCUUUGAUACCGCCAGUUGGGACCGAGGACCGCGCUUUGGCUAGGAUGCUGGCGUAAUGGUCUUAAGCGACCCGUC